RNAcentral lists this ribosomal RNA (832 nucleotides) under uncultured Gammaproteobacteria bacterium. RNAcentral describes it as "bacterial SSU rRNA". It matches the Rfam family "Bacterial small subunit ribosomal RNA", at positions 60 to 889 of the family's 1533-position model. The record is from RNAcentral. Lineage: Bacteria; Pseudomonadati; Pseudomonadota; Gammaproteobacteria.
AGUCGAGCGGUACAGGCCUUCGGGUGCUGACGAGCGGCGGACGGGUGAGUAAUGCUUGGGAACUUGCCUUUCGGAGGGGGAUAACCAUUGGAAACGAUGGCUAAUACCGCAUAACGUCUACGGACCAAAGUGGGGGAUCUUCGGACCUCACACCGAGAGAUAGGCCCAAGUGAGAUUAGCUAGUUGGUGGGGUAAAGGCUCACCAAGGCGACGAUCUCUAGCUGUUCUGAGAGGAUGAUCAGCCACACUGGGACUGAGACACGGCCCAGACUCCUACGGGAGGCAGCAGUGGGGAAUAUUGCACAAUGGGGGAAACCCUGAUGCAGCCAUGCCGCGUGUGUGAAGAAGGCCUUCGGGUUGUAAAGCACUUUCAGUGGUGAGGAAGGCUAUCGUGUUAAUAGCACGGUAGAUUGACGUUAGCCACAGAAGAAGCACCGGCUAACUCCGUGCCAGCAGCCGCGGUAAUACGGAGGGUGCGAGCGUUAAUCGGAAUUACUGGGCGUAAAGCGUACGUAGGCGGCUCAUUAAGCAAGAUGUGAAAGCCCCGGGCUCAACCUGGGAAUGGCAUUUUGAACUGGUGAGCUCGAGUUUUGAAGAGGGUGGUAGAAUUUCCAGUGUAGCGGUGAAAUGCGUAGAUAUUGGAAGGAAUACCAGUGGCGAAGGCGGCCACCUGGUCAAGAACUGACGCUGAGGUACGAAAGCGUGGGGAGCAAACAGGAUUAGAUACCCUGGUAGUCCACGCCGUANACGAUGUCAACUAGUUGUUCGUUUCAUAAACGAAGUGAGUAACGCAGCUAACGCACUAAGUUGACCGCCUGGGGAGUACGGCCGC